GGUUGUGGCUCAGUGGUAGAAUGCUUGCUUAGCAUGUGCAAGGCCCUGGGUUCAAUCCUCAGCACCA
This 67-nucleotide transfer RNA is filed under the name Marmota monax (woodchuck). RNAcentral describes it as "tRNA.Ala". The record is from RNAcentral. Lineage: Eukaryota; Metazoa; Chordata; Mammalia; Rodentia; Sciuridae.